UGUAGCUGUUUCUUAUCUCACAGCACACACAUUGACCAGCAAACAGACUCUGAUGUUAAACGUGGGUUGACUUUCACUUUAUUCUCUUUCUCUGUAGCUUGGUUUCGUGAACUUACUGGACUACCCAGAACCGGACGUGUGCCUAAGGACGUCCAAAUUCAAUAAAAUCUAACAGAAAACAUGACCAUUGGCUGGACAAUCCUGGACUUUGACAGACUGGCAGUUAAGAAAAGACAUGGCUCAGCUGUGUCUGCACAAGAGGAACAUUACCACCCCCUGUUACUAAAUAUGAUCUGUUGAGGAAGCUGAGCCAAGUGCCUCCCGCCCAGUCCCGUGAAGAAUCAUCAAGGUGAUUGUUACGUACACUUAUCUUCAGACGGCAUCCUUCGCCUGUCAAGUCAGAAAGCGUGCAUGUGUAUAGAGGUCACCGUCUGAAUAUGUAAUAGAAGCAGACGUUCCUGGAGAUACAGUUAGCAGGACUCAGCGGGGGUUGAGAGUGUUGCAGUAAUCAGGGUUGAGAUGGUGCUCGUUAUAUUUGGCAACUUGCUGGUGGUGGCACAAAUGGAGUGAGUGUGCCUUCAAUUUUAAUGUCUGCUGAAUGAGAGUGGUGGUGAGGUGAGAUUGCAGUGGCACGUAAGUAAUUCCUUGCAGGUUGAUUUUAGUUACAUUUGUAUCCUGCUAGAAUUUCAAAUGAACCAUUUAUAUAUUCACCUUGCCCUCCACCAACAUCUUAUCUAGCCGUCCCUGGUGACAUGUUGCCUGAGGUGUUGACACCUAUGAUUUGACCUCUAAGAGAUCCCUUUUCCCCAAGAUGUUAUUCACCCUGCAGGGCGUUAUGUUAUGUUCCAUAUUACAACUGUAAUGGCCUGGUAUAAUGGGAUAACAGUACAUAUACAGUACCAGUCAAAAGUUUGGACACCUACUCAU
Long non-coding RNA from Oncorhynchus tshawytscha (Chinook salmon), 927 nucleotides. RefSeq lists it as uncharacterized. The record is from RefSeq and is a predicted model, not a curated record. The transcript is spliced from 4 exons. Lineage: Eukaryota; Metazoa; Chordata; Actinopteri; Salmoniformes; Salmonidae.